This is a long non-coding RNA of Rhopalosiphum maidis (corn leaf aphid), 586 nucleotides long. RefSeq lists it as uncharacterized. The transcript is spliced from 3 exons. NCBI's taxonomy places the organism in Eukaryota, Metazoa, Arthropoda, Insecta, Hemiptera, Aphididae. The record is from RefSeq and is a predicted model, not a curated record.
UAAUAAUCACAAUCUUAAAUCUUGUCUUCAAUGGCGAGGCUCUAAGUACAAAUCAUUAAACUGUCAAGCAGUCUUAAAACCUGAUAUCAAAAAAUAAUCCAAAAAUUGUUGUUGAAUGAAUAUAUACACGCAAUGGAUAGCGAAGAAGCAAAUGUGGCGAUAUUUGUGGGAGAAACGGAGGUGAAUGUUCUACAAAUAGUGCGAAUCCUUUACAGUUGAAUGCAGAAGGAAUUGUAAAAUCGGAUGACCGUGUAUGAGCACAUGUGCCUUUUGAAAAUACUGUAAAAUAGACUCUUCGUAAUCAACGAUCUAAUAAAUAUCUAAAAUGUUUUAAAUCACGGGAUAAAAUGAUAAUUGAAGGCGAAUAGUAAACAGCCUGACGGUUAUCGAUUCUUACUUCAUAAUUAUACUGGUCCUGAUUCUGAUGAAAGAAUAAUAAUGAUUUUCACUGACGCUUGUCUUCAAAUUAAACUGAAGUUGAUACAUGGUACGUGGAUGGGAAUUUCGUCCUCGCGCCUCCAUAGUUGCAAACCUAUACCAGCAUUUCCCAAUCGAGGAGCCGUGGCUUAUUGGUGUGCCGCCAAAC